RNAcentral lists this transfer RNA (59 nucleotides) under Avahi laniger (woolly lemur). Its description in RNAcentral is "tRNA-Ser". Lineage: Eukaryota; Metazoa; Chordata; Mammalia; Primates; Indriidae. The record is from RNAcentral.
GAGAAAGUAAUCAUAAGAACUGCAAUUCUUAACCCCAUAUAUAAAUAUAGGCUUCCUCA